RNAcentral lists this ribosomal RNA (3271 nucleotides) under bacterium. RNAcentral's name for it is "23S ribosomal RNA". It matches the Rfam family "Bacterial large subunit ribosomal RNA". The record is from RNAcentral.
GGUAAAUUGUAUUUAAGGGUAGACGGUGGAUGCCUUGGGAUAUCGAGGCGAUGAAGGACGUGGGGAGUCUGCGAUAAGUCUCGGGGAGGUGACUCUCAACCUUUGAUCCGGGAAUUUCCGAAUGGGGAAACCCGUCCCGACGAAAAAUCGGGACAGCCCGACCCGUAAGGGUUUAGGGCAGCGAACCUGGGGAAGCGAAACAUCAUAGUACCCAGAGGAAAAGAAAACAAAAAAUAAAUUGCCUUAGUAGCGGCGAGCGAAAAGGCAACAGCCUAAACCCUUCGAUUCGACACUGCGUGUCUCACUCAGGGCGAGCCAUCAUUUUGAAGGUGGCUUGCCCCGAGCGAGGUACGUAGUACCGAGUCGAGGGGGGUUGCAAGGGAGUGUCGUCCCCCGACGUUACGUCGGGGGAGGGAGAACAUUUAGGUGAAGCUUCGUUAGUUGAAUGUCCCUGGAAAGGGCAACCAUAGAGGGUAAUAGUCCCGUAAGCGAAAACGGCUUUAUGCUCCUUGAUACUUUUCUUAAGUACUUCGAGGAAUGAAAACCUUGAAGGAAUCCGGCUGAACUAUUCAGCCAAGGCUAAAUACUACGAUAUCUCCGAUAGUGAACCAGUACCGUGAGGGAAAGGUGAAAAGCAGCCCGUUGAGGGCGAUGAAAUAGAACCUGAAACCGUUAUACCCACAAAGAGACGGAGCCCUGAGAGCAAUCGAAGGGUGACGUCGUGCUUUUUGCAGAACGAGCCAACGAGUUUAUGUGCAUUCCAAGUCUAAUCCCCUUACAGGGAGAAGGCAAAGUGAAAGCAAGGGUUAAUAGCCCGUUAAGGAGUGCGCGUAAGACCCGAAGCCAAGCGAGCUUACCAUGACCAGGAUGAAGACUGACGAAAGUCGGUCGGAGGUCCGAACCAGUGAGCCGUGCAAUACUCUUGGAUGAGUUGUGGUAAGAAGAGAAAACCUAAACGAGCUUGGUAAUAGCUGGUUCUCCCCGAAAUAGCUUUAGGGCUAGCGUCCCGUCAAAACCUCUGCAGGUAGAGCACUGGAUGAUAUACCGUGGCUUUUCGCCAGGUAAAUCAACCAAACUCCGAAUGGCAGAGAAUUCUACGGGGCAGUAAGACUUCGAGGACUAAGCUUCGAGGUCAUGAGGGAAACAGCCCAGAUCUUAAUCUAAGGUCCCUAAACUGAACUAAGUGUUUUUAAGGAAGUAGAAUUGCUUUGAUAGUUAGGAGGUUAGCUUAGAAGCAGCUAUCCUUUAAAAAGUGCGUAAUAGCUUACUAACUAAGGAAUUCUGCGUCGAAGAUUCACGGGACUAAGUUCAGUACCGAAGAUAAGACUGAGCACAUAAUUUUUUAUGUGCUCGGGGUAGGGGAGCGUCCUUAAUGCUGUGAAGCCGGAGGGUGACCAACGGUGGAGCGUUAAGGAGUGAGAAUGUUGGUUUGAGUAACCACAAUCCCGCUGAAAGCGCGGGACACCGAAAGCCUAAGGUUUCCUUGGCAAUGGUAAUCAGCCAAGGGUUAGGCGGAUCUAACUGAGCACCCAUUGGGUGUUCGGGAUGUACAGCAGGUUAAUAUUCCUGCCCCUUCGUUUAUUUUUGAAAAGCGACGAAGUCUAGAAGUCCGGAGAGUUAUUGGAUUCUUAUCCCCUUUGGGGAGUUCCGGAUAGAUAGGCUUCCAAGAAAAGCUUGUAGAGUCAAAUAGGCGGAGUCCGUACCGUAAACCGACACAGGUAGGCAGGCGUAAAUGCGCCAAGGUGAACGGGUGAAAUCUCCUAAAGGAACUCGGCAAAUUAGUGGUCGUAAGUUCGCGAUAAGACCUGCCUCAGCCCGCAAGGGUUUGAGGCUGCAACAAAAGUAUCCCAAGCGACUGUUUAUCAAAAACACAGGUCCCUGCUAAACUCGCAAGAGGAUGUAUAGGGGCUGAAACCUGACCAGUGCUGGAACGUUAAACUCGCCGGUCCAUGCCGCAAGGUGUGGGCUGAGGGAGCUAAGCGCCAGUGAACGUCCGCGGUAACUAUAACCGUGUUAAAGUAGCGUAACCCCUUGCCAGGUAAGUUCUGGCCCGCAUGAAAGGUUUAACGACUUGGGGACUGUCUCUAGGAGUUGCCCGGUGAAAAUGCAAUACCGGUAAAGAUGCCGGUUACCUGCGGCUAGACGGAAAGACCCCGGGAGCUUUACUGUAGCUAGGUAUUGAAUUUUGGUUUUGAAUGCGUAGCGUAGCGGGUAGGAUUUGAAGUGCCGCUUUCGGGCGGCAUGGAUCCGCCAAUGAAACACCCGUCUUUUGAAGCUAAUAUUCUAACCCCCGCAAGGGGAAACAGUGCCUGGUGGGCAGUUUAAGUGGGGCGCUUGCCUCCUAAAGAGUAACGGAGGCGUUUAUAAGGUCGGCUAGGUCCGGAUGGAAAUCGGACUGGUCGUGUAAAGGCAUAAGCCGGCUUUACUGCGAGCAGGGUAUUGCGAGCAGUUGCGAAAGCAGAACUUAGUGAACCGACCUUGGUUCAUAGGACCGAGGAAGAUCAUCAACCAAAAGUUACCCCGGGGAUAACAGGCUAGUAGAGCCCGCGAGUCCACAUCAACGGCUCUGUUCGGCACCUCGAUGUCGGCUCAUCUCAUCCUGGCGGUGGAGAAGCUGCCAAGGGUCCGGCUGUUCGCCGGUUAAAGAGGUACGUGAGCUGGGUUCAAACCGUCAACCAAAACUUGUUUCUGUUAGCAAGUUUGGCGGCUUCUGAUAGUAAUAUCAGAAUGAAAAAUCGACUUAUAUCGGUGAAGUCCUAUUAUGUUUAAUUUUAACCUGUCAUAUAUUAGGAUAAUACCGAGGGAAGUUGUAAAUUUCGCAAAAAAAGAAAUUUAUUAACCCCGUAGAGACUUUCCGCUGUAGAAGCGGAAGAUGUGGGAUAAAAUCCUGCAUAAUACGUCGAUCUUCCAUUAAAAUAUUUAAAAAGUUUUAGUGGAAAGUGAUAUAGUCCAUACACUUAGUAAUAAGUGAUAAAUAUGCGUGAGACAGGUUGGUCCCUAUCUACCGCAGGCGUUGAAUCUUGAGGGGAGUCCUCGACAGUACGAGAGGACCUCGAGGAACUAACCUCUGGUGUACCAGCUGUUCCGCCCGGAGCAUUGCUGGGUAGCUAAGUUAGGAUGUGAUAAGAGCUGAAAGCAUCUAAGCUCGAAGCCAACCCCAAGAUUAAGAUUCUUUUAGACCCCCUGGAGAUUACAGGGUCGAUAGGCUCUAGGUGUAAGCCCAGUAAUGGGUUAAGCCAAGGAGUACUAAUAGGUCAAAUUUAUUUAUCCU